GUAGGUGGCAAGCGUUGUCCGGGAAUUAUUGGGGCGUAAAGCGCGCGCAGGCGGUUCUUUAAGUCUGAUGUGAAAGCCCACGGGCUCAACCGUGGAGGGUCAUUGGAGACUGGAGAACUUGAGUACAGAAGAGGAAAGCGGAAUUCCACGUGCAGCGGUGAAAUGCGUAGAGAUGUGGAGGAACACCAGUGGCGAAGGCGGCUUUCUGGUCUGUAACUGACGCUGAGGCGCGAAAGCGUGGGGAGCAAACAGGAUUAGAUACCCUGGUAGUCCACGCCGUAAACGAUGAGUGCUAAGUGUUAGGGGGUUUCCGCCCCUUAGUGCUGCAGCUAACGCAUUAAGCACUCCGCCUGGGGAGUACGGCCGCAAAGGCUG
Molecule: ribosomal RNA, 375 nt
Filed under: uncultured organism
Description: partial 16S ribosomal RNA
Rfam family: Bacterial small subunit ribosomal RNA
Source: RNAcentral